GGUUUGUAGAGUAUUAUCUCUCUUGUCCUCUCUCUGUCUCUGUCUCCUCUCUCUCUCUCUCUCUCUCUCUCUCUCUCUCUCUCUCUCUCUCUCUCUCCCCCUCUCUCUCUCUCUUCUCUCUGUCUCUGUCUCUCUGUCUCUGUCUCUGUCUCUGUCUCUCUCUCCUCCUCUCUCUCCUCUCUUCUCUCUGUCUCUGUCUCUCUGUCUCUGUCUCUGUCUCUCUCUCCUCUCUGUCUCUCUGUCUCUGUCUCUCCUCUCUUCUCUCUCUCUCUCUUCUCUCUGUCUCUGUCUCUCUCAUCUCUGUCUCUGUCUCCUCUCUCCUUCUCUCUUCCUCCUCCUCUCUCUCUCUCUCUCUCUCUCUCCCCCCCCUUCCUCCCCCCUCUCUCCUCUCCUCUCUCUCCUCUCUUCUCUCUCUCUCUCUCUCUCUCUCUCUCUCUCUCUCUCUCUCUCUCUCUCUCUCUCUCUCUCCCCCUCUCUCUCCUCUCUUCUCUCUGUCUCUGUCUCUCUGUCUCUGUCUCUGUCUCUGUCUCUCUCUCUCCUCUCUGUCUCUCUGUCUCUGUCUCUCCUCUCUUCUCUCUCUCUCUCUUCUCUCUGUCUCUGUCUCUCUCAUCUCUGUCUCUGUCUCCUCUCUCCUCUCCUCUUCUCUCUCUCUCUCUUUCUCUCUCUCUCCUCUCUCUCUCUCUCUCUCUCUCUCUCUCUCUCUCUCUCUCUCUCUCUUCUCUCUCUCUCUCUCUCUCUCUCUCUCUCUCUCUCUCUCUCUCUCUCUCUCUCUCUCUCUCUCUCUCUCUCUCUCUCUCUCUCUCUCUCUCCCCCUCCCUUUCUCUCCUCUCUUCUCUCUCUCUCUUCUCUCUGUCUCUGUCUCUCUGUCUCUGUCUCUGUCUCUCUCCUCUCUCCUCUUCUCUCUCUUUCUUUCUCUCUCGUUUCGUUUGAUCCUCACAAUGACGCUGGGGGCCAGGUGGCUGUAGUCAAACUAUGUUCACUUGGAACCUUUACUUCCUCUCCUACCACUCUUCUCAAUCCUUUGUAAUCUGGCUUGGGACCCCGUUACUCAUCUGAAAACUUC
This 1063-nucleotide long non-coding RNA is filed under the name Phascolarctos cinereus (koala). Its description in RNAcentral is "lncRNA (ENSPCIG00000031285.1)". Lineage: Eukaryota; Metazoa; Chordata; Mammalia; Diprotodontia; Phascolarctidae. The record is from RNAcentral.